GUUAAUCAAGGUGAGGUCAGUGGUAAGGUCAUAAGGGUCUAUAAUAGCUUUUAACUUCUUUAAUUGUGUUUAUGUUCUUCUUUGUGUUUACUCAGGGUUUUCUUUUCUGACGACUGGGAAUCUAUAAAGUUUUCUUAUUACUGGAGGUCAAACAAAACACGAAAAGGUAUUUGUUGUCAUACCCUAAUGAUAUCAGUUUAAUCACUCUUAAUAUCCUACAAAGAAUAUAUUUGUUCACAGUUAACAAUUUAGCUUUGGAAUUCAUUUAUGCAUUUUAGGUUUUGAAACAAUUCGUACAUAACAUUGAAUGGAAUGAUCAUAGUUAACUAUGGAUUAUGGUGUAUUAAUUAUAUAUGCCUUAUGAUGAUAGAAUAUAACAAAAAAGACCAAAUACUUGCCUCAUCCCAUAUGGACAGUACGAUAAUUAACCACCUCUACAUAUAUAUUAUGAGAUAGUUUAUACGUAAGAUAUGGAAAAAAAAUUAUGAUUUAAUGUGUUUUGCAAAUAUACUCUAUUUAUUCAAGAUGAAGGACAAAAUGGUCAUUUUAGUACAAAAGAUUGGAACCUAUUAAAUCACUAUAUUUGUUUUGUUUCUUCCGCUUUUUCAUUUAGUAGUUUCAUGAUUUUAGCAUUUCUUUUGUUGGUAAAUGAUGCAUUAUUUCUAUUCCCAUUUUUUUAUUUCUUCUGUUGUUGUUGAUUGUAUUACAUAAUUUGCAAUCUCAUAUUACAGGUUUUCGCUUACAAAAGAACUUUUAAUUGAAAGACUAAAUAAUGUUCGAUAAGAUGAAACAAUUUGUCAGAUUGGUUCGAAUCCUUUGAUUUUCUUUUUCUCUUCAUAAUGCUGAAUAUAGAUACACUACACAUGAUUUCAGGGACAUUCAAUAACAUCAACAAUAAGGUAAAUAUUCAUAUUUCUAGAGUAAUCUGUUUUUUUACUACUUUUGGUUGAUUAAAGUUAUGUUUUUUCUUUUCUGUAGCUUUGUGUUACUUGUGCCCAAGGAUAAGUUGGAGAAAGAAAAACACUUCAUGUCACUUGUGUCCAUAGAAAUCACAUUACAGAAAGAUCUCACUCUAAAAAUUUCAAAGGGACAAAAGUACAACGCUAUUUCACGCUAUAAUGUAUGUGAUUGGUGUGCUGGAACAUGUAACAAGCACCAAAAAACACACAUCCUUUGACAUAAUAUAUUAUGGUCAUUUAACACAGUUUACAAAUUUGAAAAUUUUGAAAAACAAAUCCAAUAUUGGGGUGUAACUGUUCUCUAUGUAAGCAUAUGUAAGCCUAUAUGCAAGAAAUAAUAAUGUACUUUCAUUAAUUUGUUUAUUUUAGCAUUCUCUUAAUGAUAUAUUUGGGUUGUUACAACUUUAAGAACGAGGUUCAAACAAUAACACCAUUUUUAACCUAAUGUCGUAUUCAAAGUAUAAAUAAAUAGUUUAUGAAAGAAUAUCUAUAGAGAAUAAACCGAACAAAAAAUAUCUCACAUUUAUCCCUGCAACGCGGGGUCACUCACCUAGUUAUAUAGAAAAAAUGAGUUUGUUGCCUUUUUAAAAGAUCAAAUAAAUUUGUUGACAACUUAACAACAUCUUGAAAAGUUUAUUUUUAAAAUUUAAUAUAUUCUUAAAUUUAUUACAUAAAUAUUAGUUGUAACGUGUUAUGUCACACUAGAUUAGAUUAUAAUAAUAUGGAUUUCCCCACAUAUAUGUCCUCACAGCGUCCAAUGUUUUUUUUAUUAUAAUAAAGAUAAAGAUCUUUUUUUCUUCUUCAUCAUGUGCCUUUGAUAAUAUUUAUUUUUUCAAAACCUAUCUAAUAAUAAAUAUAAGAAAGAAUGUAAUAUGAUGAGUUUGAUCAAUUCAACAUACCCAUUGUAUCUUAUCAAUUAUCAGUAACAUAUUCCAGUAACCGCUAAAGUUACUAUGGUUUUAAUUUUUUAUUGGAUUUUAAAAUCUUUGACCAUUUCAAGAUCGAUAAAUCCAUAUAUUAGGCAAGAUUCUUGGGAUUAUUAUUAUAAUAAAACUACAAAAAACAAAAUUCCAAAACCUAUUCAUUAGUUUUUCUUAAAUGACGUUUGAUUUUUUUAUUCAAUAAGUUAUAAUAUGAGUUUAUUAUUGGGUAUUUGUGUACAUAUAUUAUUUUUGGCAUAUGCACCUAUCUAUAGUUGUUAAGGAUUUAUCUUUCUAUCCAUGUGAAAUAGUGAUAAAUACUACAUUUUUAUAAAGUUAAUAGUAUUUU
Molecule: long non-coding RNA, 2228 nt
Filed under: Lactuca sativa (garden lettuce)
Lineage: Eukaryota; Viridiplantae; Streptophyta; Magnoliopsida; Asterales; Asteraceae
Description: long non-coding RNA (LSAT_LNC000090)
Source: RNAcentral